Podarcis lilfordi (Lilford's wall lizard) is the source of this 74-nucleotide non-coding RNA. The record is from the annotation of a GenBank genome assembly. Lineage: Eukaryota; Metazoa; Chordata; Lepidosauria; Squamata; Lacertidae.
GGCACCUCUGUGCGGCCAUCGGGAGCCGGGCGGGGCUUUGCGCCCGGCUCCCGAUGGCCGUGCAGAGCUGUGCU